UACUGUAAAAAUACAGCACACCGCUGUAUAAAUAUGCUGUAAAAUUAUGUUGUUUUUUUACAGCUAUCCCUGUAAGAUUACAGUAGCAAUGUUUACAAAUCAACUUUUGAUCCAGUUUCCAGGUUAAUGCCCACAAUUCCUCUGUGAAAAAAAACACAACAUCAGAUAAAAUAAAAAAAAC
This is a long non-coding RNA of Sinocyclocheilus grahami, 181 nucleotides long. RefSeq lists it as uncharacterized. NCBI's taxonomy places the organism in Eukaryota, Metazoa, Chordata, Actinopteri, Cypriniformes, Cyprinidae. The record is from RefSeq and is a predicted model, not a curated record. The transcript has 2 exons.